This 254-nucleotide ribosomal RNA is filed under the name uncultured bacterium. RNAcentral describes it as "partial 16S ribosomal RNA". It matches the Rfam family "Bacterial small subunit ribosomal RNA", at positions 524 to 776 of the family's 1533-position model. The record is from RNAcentral.
UACGUAGGGGGCGAGCGUUGUCCGGAGUUACUGGGCGUAAAGGGCUCGUAGGCGGCCAACUAAGUCAGACGUGAAAUCCCUCGGCUUAACCGGGGAACUGCGUCUGAUACUGGAUGGCUUGAGUUUGGGAGAGGGAUGCGGAAUUCCAGGUGUAGCGGUGAAAUGCGUAGAUAUCUGGAGGAACACCGGUGGCGAAGGCGGCAUCCUGGACCAACACUGACGCUGAGUGAGCGAAAGCCAGGGGAGCAAACGGG